UUGGAGGGCAAGUCUGGUGCCAGCAGCCGCGGUAAUUCUAGCUCCAAUAGCGUAUAUUAAAGUUGCUGCAGUUAAAAAGCUCGUAGUUGAAUUUCGGGACCAUCAUGUCGGUCGUGCCUCGGUACGUACUGGCAUUGUUGGUUUCUCCCUUCUGACGAACCAUGAUGUCAUUUAUUUGGUGUUGUGGGGAAUCAGGACUGUUACUUUGAAAAAAUUAGAGUGUUUAAAGCAGGCUCACGCUUGAAUACAUUAGCAUGGAAUAAUGAAAUAGGACGUUUGAUUCUAUUUUGUUGGUUUCUAGGAUCGACGUAAUGAUUAAUAGGGAUAGUUGGGGGCAUUAGUAUUCAAUUGUCAGAGGUGAAAUUCUUGGAUUUAUUGAAGACUAACUACUGCGAAAGCAUUUGCCAAGGAUGUUUUCAUUAAUCAAGAACGAAAGUUAGGGGAUCGAAGACGAUCAGAUACCGUCGUAGUCUUAACCAUGAACUAUGCCGACUAGGGAUCGGAUGAUGUUAAUUUUUUAAUGACUCAUUCGGCGCCUUACGGGAAACCAAAGUGUUUGGGUUC
RNAcentral lists this ribosomal RNA (564 nucleotides) under uncultured Glomeromycotina. RNAcentral describes it as "SSU rRNA". It matches the Rfam family "Eukaryotic small subunit ribosomal RNA", at positions 548 to 1114 of the family's 1831-position model. The record is from RNAcentral. Lineage: Eukaryota; Fungi; Glomeromycota.